UAGGGAAUCUUCCACAAUGGACGAAAGUCUGAUGGAGCAACGCCGCGUGAGUGAAGAAGGGUUUCGGCUCAUAAAACUCUGUUGUUAAAGAAGAACAUAUCUGAGAGUAACUGUUCAGGUAUUGACGGUAUUUAACCAGAAAGCCACGGCUAACUACGUGCUAG
Molecule: ribosomal RNA, 164 nt
Filed under: uncultured bacterium
Lineage: Bacteria
Description: partial 16S rRNA
Rfam family: Bacterial small subunit ribosomal RNA
Source: RNAcentral